Molecule: unclassified non-coding RNA, 159 nt
Filed under: soil metagenome
Description: partial internal transcribed spacer 1
Source: RNAcentral
CAGAGUUGCAAGACUCCCUAAACCAUUGUGAACCUACCUUCUGCCGUUGCUUCGGCGGGCGGGCCCAGCGCCCCCCCGGCCCCCCGCGGGCGCCCGCCGGAGGAUACCCAAACUCUUGACAUUAGUGGCCUCUCUGAGUAUUCUUUACUGAAUAAGUCA